UCGGCUGGCAGGGGCAGAGCUGGCUGCAGGCCCGGCCCCUCUCAGCUGCUGCCCUCUCCAG
MicroRNA precursor from Gorilla gorilla gorilla (western lowland gorilla), 61 nucleotides. NCBI's taxonomy places the organism in Eukaryota, Metazoa, Chordata, Mammalia, Primates, Hominidae. The record is from Ensembl.